UGCCUAAACUCGUCAAUCUCUGACGAGCAUGGCUAAAAGACCCAAGGAUGACACUGAACCCCGCGUUCAGCAACUCAUCCUUGGGCUAUAUUCCGAAAGGGAUAUAGGGUCGCAAGACCU
This 120-nucleotide small RNA is filed under the name unclassified sequences. Its description in RNAcentral is "LOOT RNA". It matches the Rfam family "LOOT RNA". From Rfam's summary of the family: Latescibacteria, OD1/Parcubacteria, OP11, TM7. Lineage (Microgenomates, aka OP11) The record is from Rfam by way of RNAcentral.